AACGAACGCUGGCGGCAGGCUUAACACAUGCAAGUCGAGCGCACCAUUUAUGGUGAGCGGCAGACGGGUGAGUAAUGUAUGGGAAUCUACCUAUUACUACGGAAUAACACAGAGAAAUUUGUGCUAAUACCGUAUAGUUCCGAGAGGAUAAAGAUUUAUCGGUAAUAGAUGAGCCCAUAUUAGAUUAGCUAGUUGGUAAGGUAAAGGCUUACCAAGGCGACGAUCUAUAGCUGGUCUGAGAGGAUGAUCAGCCACACUGGGACUGAGACACGGCCCAGACUCCUACGGGAGGCAGCAGUGGGGAAUAUUGGACAAUGGGCGCAAGCCUGAUCCAGCCAUGCCGCGUGAGUGAUGAAGGCCUUAGGGUUGUAAAGCUCUUUCGCCGGUGAAGAUAAUGACGGUAACCGGAAAAGAAGCCCCGGCUAACUUCGUGCCAGCAGCCGCGGUAAUACGAAGGGGGCUAGCGUUGUUCGGAUUUACUGGGCGUAAAGCGCGCGUAGGCGGAUAAAUUAGUUAGAGGUGAAAUCCCAGGGCUCAACCCUGGAACUGCCUUUAAUACUGUUUAUCUAGAGUAUGAAAGAGGUGAGUGGAAUUCCGAGUGUAGAGGUGAAAUUCGUAGAUAUUCGGAGGAACAUCAGUGGCGAAGGCGGCUCACUGGUUCAUUACUGACGCUGAGGUGCGAAAGCGUGGGGAGCAAACAGG
RNAcentral lists this ribosomal RNA (702 nucleotides) under uncultured Bartonellaceae bacterium. RNAcentral's name for it is "bacterial SSU rRNA". It matches the Rfam family "Bacterial small subunit ribosomal RNA", at positions 28 to 776 of the family's 1533-position model. Lineage: Bacteria; Pseudomonadati; Pseudomonadota; Alphaproteobacteria; Hyphomicrobiales; Bartonellaceae. The record is from RNAcentral.